RNAcentral lists this ribosomal RNA (335 nucleotides) under uncultured Actinotalea sp. Its description in RNAcentral is "bacterial SSU rRNA". It matches the Rfam family "Bacterial small subunit ribosomal RNA", at positions 340 to 688 of the family's 1533-position model. Lineage: Bacteria; Bacillati; Actinomycetota; Actinomycetes; Micrococcales; Cellulomonadaceae. The record is from RNAcentral.
UACGGGAGGCAGCAGUGGGGAAUAUUGGACAAUGGGCGAAAGCCUGAUCCAGCAAUGCUGCGUGAGUGAUGAAGGCCUUAGGGUUGUAAAGCUCUUUCACCCGGGAAGAGCGAUAAGUGACGGUACCUGGAGAAUAAGCCCCGGCUAACUCCGUGCCAGCAGCCGCGGUAAUACGGAGGGGGCUAGCGUUGUUCGGAAUUACUGGGCGUAAAGCGCACGUAGGCGGCUUUGCAAGUCAGAGGUGAAAGCCCGGGGCUCAACCCCGGAAUUGCCUUUGAGACUGCAUCGCUAGAGUGUUGGAGAGGUGAGUGGAAUUCCGCCUCAGCGGUGGAAUU